Molecule: ribosomal RNA, 515 nt
Filed under: uncultured bacterium
Lineage: Bacteria
Description: bacterial SSU rRNA
Rfam family: Bacterial small subunit ribosomal RNA
Source: RNAcentral
UGGGCGAAAGCCUGACGCAGCGACGCCGCGUGGGUGAUGAAGGCCUUCGGGUCGUAAAACCCUGUCGGGUGGAACGAAUCCUGCUUCGCUAAUACCGGAGCGGUUUGACGGUACCACCGAAGGAAGCCCCGGCUAACUACGUGCCAGCAGCCGCGGUAAUACGUAGGGGGCGAGCGUUGUUCGGAUUUACUGGGCGUAAAGAGCGCGUAGGUGGUUCGAUGAGUCGGAGGUGAAAUCCCUCGGCUUAACCGAGGACCCGCGUCCGAUACUGUCGAACUUGAGUGCAGGAGAGGAGAGCGGAAUUCCCAGUGUAGCGGUGAAAUGCGUAGAUAUUGGGAGGAACACCGGUGGCGAAGGCGGCUCUCUGGACUGUCACUGACACUGAGGCGCGAAAGCUAGGGGAGCAAACGGGAUUAGAUACCCCGGUAGUCCUAGCCGUAAACGAUGGGCACUAGGUGUGGGAGGUAUCGACCCCUUCCGUGCCGCAGCUAACGCAUUAAGUGCCCCGCCUGGGG